UCUGUGUUCAUUAACAUCAGUAGAAUUAUUUGCCAGUCACCAAUCUUUUUUCACAAAUGACAAAUUCUGGAAAGGAAGAGUUAAACAUUUUGACAAUUGUGUCAAAACAAAAUAAAAGCUGAAUGGGAUCAUGUAAUCUUCAAAUAGAGAUCAUUUUACUUCUCCCUAUCGGAUUUCAGUGCCUUUGGUUUCUUUUUCUUGUCUGAUUGCCCUGGCAAGCACUUCCAGUACAAUGUUGAAUGGAAGUGGCAAAAGCAGGCAUCCUUGCUUUGUACCAGAUCUUAGUGGAAAUGUUUUCUGUUU
Molecule: long non-coding RNA, 303 nt
Filed under: Pan troglodytes (chimpanzee)
Lineage: Eukaryota; Metazoa; Chordata; Mammalia; Primates; Hominidae
Description: long non-coding RNA NONPTRT014988
Source: RNAcentral